Molecule: ribosomal RNA, 528 nt
Filed under: Triticum aestivum (bread wheat)
Lineage: Eukaryota; Viridiplantae; Streptophyta; Magnoliopsida; Poales; Poaceae
Description: partial small subunit ribosomal RNA
Source: RNAcentral
UCCGCGGCCACCGCCUACAAGGCUCAGUUUCUUGGACUGACACUUUCGCCCAUGGACUUUAUGAUCUGGAAGGCUUGGGCCCCUCCUAAGAUCAAGUUUUUUGCUUGGUUGGCUAUCCAAGACCGGAUUUGGACAGCCGACAGAUUGGAGCGGCGCGGUUGGCAAAACUGUGGACUUUGCCCGCUUUGCAAACGUGUUGGCGAGACGGGUGCACACCUCUUCUACAAAUGCCGCUACACCAUAAGGCUAUGGAACUCGGUCAUCCUUGAAUUUGGUCUAGCGCACAUGGACACCUCCUCUUGGCAUUUGGAUGGAUCCGUUUUGGAAUGGUGGGAAAAGCGAACCUGCUUGCAAAACCCAAACCGACGAGCCUUGGCCUCACUUACAAUGCUAGUCUCUUGGACGAUCUGGAACGAGCGUAAUGCUCGGGUCUUCCGACACAAGAGCGCACCGCCUCCGGUCCUUCUCCAUGCUAUCAUCAACGACGUCAAGCUUUGGGUUCUCGCGGGAGCAAAAAAACUGGGGUGU